AGAUGUUAAAAGCAAGAGACAUGGGAGAGCAUCAUUCCCUUGAGAUUUUAUAACUCAAACCAACUUUGGAGUUGUCUGAUUUGGAGAGUCAUUAUUCUUGGUCUUCGCUCUUAGAGAUUUUGUAUGAGUCUGGAAAAACAUGAGGAGAGUAAAUUAUAAACAUUUUAAUUAUUUGGUGAACUAACGGUUUGAAGAGCAGCCCUCCAUGUACGUGAAUAUUGUGAGGCCACUGAUGAAGAGCAGGCGGUGACUGGGAUGAAUGCUGGUCAGAGAGGAGAAUCUUCUUUCCGCCUAAACUGAUGCAGCGGUGGUUUUAAAGGAGGACGCUGCCCUGGAUGAUGUAGAAGAUGUCAGAUGCUGUGCUGAUGGGGUUUCUUCAUGAUUACAUCAGUUAUGCUAAAGAGAUCAUGAAAAUUGACCGUGAUGCAUGAUCUGUAUUCAUGGACUUUGAAACAAACUGUAAGUGUAUAAUUUGUUAAAAAAAAAAAGUUAAAUGCUUUUUCUGCGUUGUUUAGUAGAAGAGUUUACACUCUGUCAUUCAUACACCUGCUCACAUUCUUUCACACACACACACACACACACACACACACACACACACACACAUGCGUCUGUUAAAUGUUAUAAUAUCAAAGUUAAUGUGAUUUAUUUGUGUACUGUCAUGCCAGAAUAGUUGGAAAAAAACCUAACUAAUUGUAAAUUUAUUGUAUGUGUUUUCGUAUAUUUUUAUACAAUAUAUACAAUUGAACAAAGUCCAAUUUGAUCUUAAGUUAUAUUCAUCAAAUGUUCAAUGCUUUGUUUAUGAACUCUGUAGCUGUUAAUGCCAUCCUUUUCUGCAUUUCUUCUAACAUGUUACUUUUUGACUUUUCUCUUGUUUUUAAUAAAUAUUUUCCUUUUGGUAAUUAUUA
This is a long non-coding RNA of Carassius gibelio (silver crucian carp), 905 nucleotides long. RefSeq lists it as uncharacterized. The transcript has 4 exons. The record is from RefSeq and is a predicted model, not a curated record. NCBI's taxonomy places the organism in Eukaryota, Metazoa, Chordata, Actinopteri, Cypriniformes, Cyprinidae.